This 458-nucleotide ribosomal RNA is filed under the name uncultured bacterium. RNAcentral's name for it is "partial 16S ribosomal RNA". It matches the Rfam family "Bacterial small subunit ribosomal RNA", at positions 28 to 497 of the family's 1533-position model. The record is from RNAcentral.
GAUGAACGCUGGCGGCGUGCCUAAUACAUGCAAGUCGAGCGGUAAGGCCACUUCGGUGGUACACGAGCGGCGGACGGCUGAGUAACACGUAGGAACGUACCCCAAACUGAGGGAUAACUGCCCGAAAGAGUAGCUAAUACCGCAUGUGCUCUAAGGAGUAAAGCUACGGCGGUUUGGGAACGGCCUGCGCAUGAUUAGCUUGUUGGUGAGGUAAUAGCUCACCAAGGCGACGAUCAUUAGCUGGUAUGAGAGGACGAUCAGCCACACUGGGACUGAGAAACGGCCCAGACUCCUACGGGAGGCAGCAGUGGGGAAUUUUGGACAAUGGGCGCAAGCCUGAUCCAGCAAUGCCGCGUGCAGGAUGAAGGCCUUCGGGUUGUAAACUGCUUUUGUACGGAACGAAAAGCCCCGGGUUAAUACCCUGGGGUCAUGACGGUACCGUAAGAAUAAGCACCGGC